GAAAUUGCUAAUCUUGAAGCACAUGUUGGUCCGCCUCCCCUUUUACUUUAGCUGGAUUACUUACUCCUGGAGCACCAACACCUGUAACUUUAGGGGAUGCAAUACAAGGUCCACUACCUUGAAGUCGUAAAACUAGAGAAGAAAUCUACGCUAAUUAGAAUGACGGAGAUUAUCAAACGUUAAAUUGGACAAACGGAAGCAUUUCCUCCUUUUUUAUCGAUUCUUCGACAUUUUCUUCUUUUUCCAAACGACAAUAGAGAAGCGAGAUAAAUUUGGGUUCUAGCGGAUAAAGUAAUCCAACAAAUGACAAUUCAAAGCGAAGAUGGCGAAGAUUUGGAAGAAUUGCGACAGAGGCUUGCUAAGCUUGACAUAAUUGACUAGACAACACAAGAAAA
This is a long non-coding RNA of Xenia sp. Carnegie-2017, 395 nucleotides long. RefSeq lists it as uncharacterized. The transcript is spliced from 4 exons. NCBI's taxonomy places the organism in Eukaryota, Metazoa, Cnidaria, Anthozoa, Malacalcyonacea, Xeniidae. The record is from RefSeq and is a predicted model, not a curated record.